This 153-nucleotide ribosomal RNA is filed under the name Sphenodon punctatus (tuatara). RNAcentral describes it as "5.8S ribosomal RNA (ENSSPUG00000002140.1)". It matches the Rfam family "5.8S ribosomal RNA". Rfam says of the family: 5.8S ribosomal RNA (5.8S rRNA) is a component of the large subunit of the eukaryotic ribosome. Lineage: Eukaryota; Metazoa; Chordata; Lepidosauria; Sphenodontia; Sphenodontidae. The record is from Rfam by way of RNAcentral.
AACUCUUAGCGGUGGAUCACUGAGCUCAUGUGUUGAUGAAGAAUGCAGCUAGCUGUGAUAAUUCAUGUGAAUUGCAGGACACAUUGAUCAUCGACACUUCGAAUGCACAUAUGGCCCUGGGUUCUUCCCAGGGCUACACUUGUCUGAGCAUUG